CUGAAGGCGAGGGGCUCCCUGCCAGGGUCCUUCAGCUCAGAUGGGCAUCUCGGGAGCACCCACCGCCACCACUGCACUCAGUGUCAUAAGACUGCAGAAAAGCUGAGGUGGCUUUCCCAAGAUGCACCAGGAUCCCACUGAGCCAUUCUGAGGACAGCUCCCAUCGCUGGGGAUGGAGGAAGUUGUGCCUGUGAAGACUGAGGCAUGACGUCAUGGAAGCUAAAACACAGACUGGAGAGGGACUGGGAAUUUCUGAUCUUGCCUGUUUACAGUAAAGGAAAUCCAUCCUCUUCUCCCUGGAGAAGACUGCAAAACAACACCCACGGUUAAGCAGCAAGCCUCACCAAGAGGACUCACCAAGGAGAGGGCCGCUCGCUUGAGUCAAGAUGUACCAGAACCCCAAACUGCAGAGCAGGGAGGAGAGGCCAGACCCAGCAGAAACUUCUUCUGUGCUGUGUCUGAGGCUCCUCAGUGGUGCCUGCGGACGCUGUUGGCCCAGCGCACGCCAAGCACAGCUGACAGUCUUUCGAGGACGUGAGCUUUUGUUGGGAGUGAUUGAGUCUCGCAUUGUUUUGCCAACUCCUAAACAAACGGAUGGAUCCAUUUGGAGCUUGUCUGUCUUUGUUGUUGUUUAAUAAAGCAGCAAUCAUAUAUGUGCGAGAUAAUGGG
RNAcentral lists this long non-coding RNA (669 nucleotides) under Mus spicilegus (steppe mouse). RNAcentral's name for it is "lncRNA (ENSMSIG00000013935.1)". The record is from RNAcentral. Lineage: Eukaryota; Metazoa; Chordata; Mammalia; Rodentia; Muridae.